This 302-nucleotide long non-coding RNA is filed under the name Phoenix dactylifera (date palm). RNAcentral describes it as "long non-coding RNA (PDAC_LNC013206)". Lineage: Eukaryota; Viridiplantae; Streptophyta; Magnoliopsida; Arecales; Arecaceae. The record is from RNAcentral.
CCGCCGUAGACUUGAGGGUUAGGUUGUGGUUGAGCUGGUAGCUUACCCUUCUCUUGAGAACUUAAAGCAGUGGUCAACAUUGUCAGUUGAUUUCUUAUUUCAUCAUUGAUUUUGGCUUGACCUUGCAUGAAAGAUUACAAAGUUUCUUCGAGACUGAGUUUUUGAGGGGGUGUGUGUGCAUAAUGAGGUUGCGGAGGUGGAGGAGUUGGGUUAUAUACUUGUUGAGGUUGGUCAUUCCUCCACCUAAAAUUUGGAUGGUUCUUCCAUCCAGGGUUGUAAGUACCCGAAAAAGGAUUAUUAAA